This 470-nucleotide ribosomal RNA is filed under the name uncultured Sphingobacteriales bacterium. RNAcentral describes it as "bacterial SSU rRNA". It matches the Rfam family "Bacterial small subunit ribosomal RNA", at positions 916 to 1381 of the family's 1533-position model. Lineage: Bacteria; Pseudomonadati; Bacteroidota; Sphingobacteriia; Sphingobacteriales. The record is from RNAcentral.
GACGGGGCCCGCACAAGCGGAGGAACUACGUUGGUUUAAUUCGUAUGAUACGCGAGGAACCUUACCUGGGCUUAAAUGUAGAGUGCAUUUUUAGAGAUAGAAAUUCCCUUCGGGCUUUCUGCAAGGUGCUGCAUGGUUGUCGUCAGCUCGUGCCGUGAGGUGUCGGGUUAAGUCCCAUAACGAGCGCAACCCUUAUCGUUAGUUGCCAUCUGGUAAUGCAGGGGACUCUAGCGAAACUGCCACCGUAAGGUGAGAGGAAGGUGGGAUGACGUCAAAUCAGCACGGCCCUUAUGUCCAGGGCUACACACGUGUUACAAUGGUCGGUACAGAGGGCAGCUACCUGGUGACAGGAUGCUAAUCUCGAAAAACCGGUCUCAGUUCGGAUCGAAGUCUGCAACUCGACUUCGUGAAGCUGGAUUCGCUAGUAAUCGCGCAUCAGCUAUGGCGCGGUGAAUACGUUCCCGGGCCUU